This 497-nucleotide ribosomal RNA is filed under the name uncultured bacterium. RNAcentral describes it as "partial 16S ribosomal RNA". It matches the Rfam family "Bacterial small subunit ribosomal RNA", at positions 28 to 507 of the family's 1533-position model. The record is from RNAcentral.
GAUGAACGCUGGCGGCGUGCCUAAUACAUGCAAGUCGAGCGAACAGACGAGGAGCUUGCUCUUCUGACGUUAGCGGCGGACGGGUGAGUAACACGUGGAUAACCUACCUAUAAGACUGGGAUAACUUCGGGAAACCGGAGCUAAUACCGGAUAAUAUAUUGAACCGCAUGGUUCAAUAGUGAAAGGCGGUUUUGCUGUCACUUAUAGAUGGAUCCGCGCCGCAUUAGCUAGUUGGUAAGGUAACGGCUUACCAAGGCGACGAUGCGUAGCCGACCUGAGAGGGUGAUCGGCCACACUGGAACUGAGACACGGUCCAGACUCCUACGGGAGGCAGCAGUAGGGAAUCUUGCGCAAUGGGCGAAAGCCUGACGGAGCAACGCCGCGUGAGUGAUGAAGGUCUUCGGAUCGUAAAACUCUGUUAUUGGGGAAGAACAAAUGUGUAAGUAACUAUGCACGUCUUGACGGUACCUAAUCAGAAAGCCACGGCUAACUACGUG